RNAcentral lists this small RNA (251 nucleotides) under Pan troglodytes (chimpanzee). RNAcentral describes it as "retained intron". The record is from RNAcentral. Lineage: Eukaryota; Metazoa; Chordata; Mammalia; Primates; Hominidae.
ACGCCCGCAGGACUCCGUCAACGUGGAUGCCGUCAUCAGCAAGAUCGAGAGCACCUUCGCCCGGUUCCCCCACGAGAGGGCCACCAUGGACGACAUGGGCCUGGUGGCCAAGGACGUGGUGAACACGCACCCGGGGCUGUCGUUCCUGAAGGAGGCGUCCGAGUUCCACUCGCGCUACAUCACCACGGUGGGUCCCCAGCGGAGGGGCCGUCGGUUCCAGCGCGGGGCGCGGGUGUUUCUGCAGCGGCCGC